RNAcentral lists this ribosomal RNA (260 nucleotides) under uncultured Neisseriales bacterium. RNAcentral's name for it is "partial 16S ribosomal RNA". It matches the Rfam family "Bacterial small subunit ribosomal RNA", at positions 524 to 786 of the family's 1533-position model. Lineage: Bacteria; Pseudomonadati; Pseudomonadota; Betaproteobacteria; Neisseriales. The record is from RNAcentral.
UACGUAGGGUGCGAGCGUUAAUCGGAAUUACUGGGCGUAAAGCGAGCGCAGACGGUUACUUAAGCAGGAUGUGAAAUCCCCGGGCUCAACCUGGGAACUGCGUUCUGAACUGGGUGACUAGAGUGUGUCAGAGGGAGGUAGAAUUCCACGUGUAGCAGUGAAAUGCGUAGAGAUGUGGAGGAAUACCGAUGGCGAAGGCAGCCUCCUGGGAUAACACUGACGUUCAUGCUCGAAGCGUGGUAGCAACAGGAUUAGAUACC